UGGGGAAUAUUGCACAAUGGGCGCAAGCCUGAUGCAGCCAUGCCGCGUGUAUGAAGAAGGCCUUCGGGUUGUAAAGUACUUUCAGCGGGGAGGAAGGCGAUAAGGUUAAUAACCUUGUCGAUUGACGUUACCCGCAGAAGAAGCACCGGCUAACUCCGUGCCAGCAGCCGCGGUAAUACGGAGGGUGCAAGCGUUAAUCGGAAUUACUGGGCGUAAAGCGCACGCAGGCGGUCUGUCAAGUCGUAUGUGAAAACCCCGGGCUCAACCUGGGAACUGCAUUCGAAACUGGCAGGUUAGAGUCUUGUAGAGGGGGGUAGAAUUCCAGGUGUAGCGGUGAAAUGCGUAGAGAUCUGGAGGAAUACCGGUGGCGAAGGCGGCCCCCUGGACAAAGACUGACGCUCAGGUGCGAAAGCGUGGGGAGCAAACA
This 427-nucleotide ribosomal RNA is filed under the name uncultured bacterium. Its description in RNAcentral is "partial 16S ribosomal RNA". It matches the Rfam family "Bacterial small subunit ribosomal RNA", at positions 355 to 774 of the family's 1533-position model. The record is from RNAcentral.